GAUGAACGCUGGCGGCGUGCCUAAUACAUGCAAGUCGAGCGAACAGAUGAGGAGCUUGCUCCUCUGACGUUAGCGGCAGACGGGUGAGUAACACGUGGAUAACCUACCUAUAAGACUGGGAUAACUUCGGGAAACCGGAGCUAAUACCGGAUAAUAUAUUGAACCGCAUGGUUCAAUAGUGAAAGACGGUUUUGCUGUCACUUAUAGAUGGAUCCGCGCCGCAUUAGCUAGUUGGUAAGGUAACGGCUUACCAAGGCAACGAUGCGUAGCCGACCUGAGAGGGUGAUCGGCCACACUGGAACUGAGACACGGUCCAGACUCCUACGGGAGGCAGCAGUAGGGAAUCUUCCGCGAUGGGCGAAAGCCUGACGGAGCAACGCCGCGUGAGUGAUGAAGGUCUUCGGAUCGUAAAACUCUGUUAUUAGGGAAGAACAAAUGUGUAAGUAACUAUGCACGUCUUGACGGUACCUAAUCAGAAAGCCACGGCUAACUACGUG
RNAcentral lists this ribosomal RNA (497 nucleotides) under uncultured bacterium. RNAcentral describes it as "partial 16S ribosomal RNA". It matches the Rfam family "Bacterial small subunit ribosomal RNA", at positions 28 to 507 of the family's 1533-position model. The record is from RNAcentral.